Molecule: long non-coding RNA, 520 nt
Organism: Paramisgurnus dabryanus
Lineage: Eukaryota; Metazoa; Chordata; Actinopteri; Cypriniformes; Cobitidae
Source: RefSeq, a predicted model, not a curated record
UCAUCAGGCAUGCAAAGACACCAGUGAAAUUAAGAUGUUUGGUUUUAUUUAUCUUAUCUGAAUAUCUGCUGUCACGCAUAACAUUCAUUAUUUGACCGUAUUUCAAAGAUAAACAAAAUCCAGUUACAACUCCGAACCGCUAGAUGGCAGCAGUACACAAACACGGGGCCAAAUCUCACGAGCAAGAUUUCCGCUGUUUGAAAAGCAACAACAUCAGCGAGCAGCCACGAGGAAAGCAAUCUACCACACUCGUUUGGUCUUGUGUCAAAGCUGUGCGAAACUGGAGGGAGAAACUUGAGAGACCGUGCCGGAAGAAUGCUGGACAGAGUUCACUAAAAUUCAUUAAUUUCAAAGUUCAACAUGAAUGGUGGUGGUCCACUGCAGAAGCAAGCAUUUGAAAAAACAUCACUUCUCAGUUAUUAAAGAUGAUGUGUUGAACAACUUCCCAGAAGCAACAGAACUGGACGUGAAGGAUGCAAUGGGGGCAUUUCAAACAGUCACCAGGGAGCACGGGGGGGGG